Molecule: long non-coding RNA, 722 nt
Organism: Cydia fagiglandana
Lineage: Eukaryota; Metazoa; Arthropoda; Insecta; Lepidoptera; Tortricidae
Exons: 3
Source: RefSeq, a predicted model, not a curated record
UUUCAUACAAAAAUAGAAAAGAAACAGUAAAUUUUUAGGGUUCCCCAUACAUAGAACUGAAACUCAAAAAUUUUUUUUUCAUCAAACCCAUACGUGUGGGGUAUCUAUGGAUAGGUCUUCAAAAAUGAUAUUGAGGUUUCUAAUAUCAUUUUCUUCUAAACUGAAUAGUUUGCGCGAGAGACACUUCCAAAGUUGUAAAAUGUGUGUCCCCCCCCUGUAACUUCUAAAAUAAGAGUAUGAUAAAACUAAAAAAAAUAUAUGAUGUACAUUACCAUGCAAACUUCCACCGAAAAUUGGUUUGAACAAGAUUUUGUAAGUAGUUUUUUUUAAUACAACUGAAACCCAAAAAUUUUUUUUUCAUCAAACCCAUACGUGUGGGUUAUCUAUGGAUAGGUCUUCAAAAAUGAUAUUGAGGUUUCUAAUAUCAUUUUCUUCUAAACUGAAUAGUUUGCGCGAGAGACACUUCCAAAGUGGUAAAAUGUGUGUCCCCCCCCCCCCCUGUAACUUCUAAAAUAAGAGAAUGAUAAACCUAAAAAAAAUAUAUGAUGUACAUUACCAUGCAAACUUCCACCGAAAAUUGGUUUGAACAAGAUUUGGUAAGUAGUUCUUUUUUAAUACGUCAUAAACCAAACUCAAAAAUUUUUUUUUCAUCCAGUCCAUACGUGUGGGGUAUCUAUGGAUAGGUCUUCAAAAAUGAUAUUGAGGUUUCUAAUAUCAUUUUU